GGGGUGGUGGCGCAGUUGGCUAGCGCGUAGGUCUCAUAGUAUCCUGAGGUCGAGAGUUCGAGCCUCUCUCACCCCA
RNAcentral lists this transfer RNA (76 nucleotides) under Vitis vinifera (wine grape). Its description in RNAcentral is "tRNA-Met". It matches the Rfam family "tRNA". From Rfam's summary of the family: Transfer RNA (tRNA) molecules are approximately 80 nucleotides in length. Their secondary structure includes four short double-helical elements and three loops (D, anti-codon, and T loops). Further hydrogen bonds mediate the characteristic L-shaped molecular structure. tRNAs have two regions of fundamental functional importance: the anti-codon, which is responsible for specific mRNA codon recognition, and the 3' end, to which the tRNAs corresponding amino acid is attached (by aminoacyl-tRNA synthetases). tRNAs cope with the degeneracy of the genetic code in two manners: having more than one tRNA (with a specific anti-codon) for a particular amino acid; and 'wobble' base-pairing, i.e. permitting non-standard base-pairing at the 3rd anti-codon position. Lineage: Eukaryota; Viridiplantae; Streptophyta; Magnoliopsida; Vitales; Vitaceae. The record is from RNAcentral.